RNAcentral lists this ribosomal RNA (305 nucleotides) under uncultured bacterium. RNAcentral describes it as "bacterial SSU rRNA". It matches the Rfam family "Bacterial small subunit ribosomal RNA", at positions 337 to 659 of the family's 1533-position model. The record is from RNAcentral.
GCCUACGGGGGGCAGCAGUGGGGGAUAUUGCACAAUGGGGGAAACCCUGAUGCAGCGACGCCGCGUGAGUGAAGAAGUAUUUCGGUACGUAAAGCUCUAUCAGCAUGGAAGAAAAUGACAGUACCUGACUAAGAAGCCCCGGCUAAAUACGUGCCAGCAGCCGCGGUAAUACGUAUGGGGCAAGCGUUAUCCGGAUUUACUGGGUGUAAAGGGAGCGUAGGCGGCCUGGCAAGCCUGAUGUGAAAUACCGGGGCCCAACCCCGGGGCUGCAUUGGGAACUGCCAGGCUGGAGUGCCGGAGAGGCA